Long non-coding RNA from Calidris pygmaea (Spoon-billed sandpiper), 1638 nucleotides. NCBI's taxonomy places the organism in Eukaryota, Metazoa, Chordata, Aves, Charadriiformes, Scolopacidae. The record is from Ensembl.
CCAUGGUGACGGUUGCCAUGGUGCCCGCAGGCGGCAGGGGUGACCAUCGUGGACCACCACGCGGUGACCGAGUCCUUCCAGCGGCACCUGGGGGCGGAGCUGGGGGCGCGGGGGGGGACCCCGGCCGACUGGGCCUGGAUCGUGCCCCCCCUGGGGGGCAGCCUCACCCCCGUCUUCCACCAGGAGAUGGUCAACUACCAGCUCAGCCCCGCCUUCCGCUACCAGGUGGGGCUGCCCCAUAGAUCCGUGGGGCCAGACACCCGUCAUCCGUAGAGCCAUGGCCCCAUAGAGCCACUGACCCAUAGAGCCAUCACCCCAUAGACCCAUCGCCCCAUCAAUUCAUCGCCCCAUAGAGCCAUCGCCCCAUAGAGCCAUCACCAACUACCAGCUCAGCCCCACCUUCCACUACCAGGUGGGGCUGCCCCAUAGAUCCGUGGGGGCAGAGACCCUUCACCCUAGAGCCAUCACCCCAUAGAGCCACUGACCCAUAAAGCUAUCGCCCCAUAGAGCCAUCACCCCAUAGAGCCAUCGCCCCAUAGAGCCACUGACCCAUAGAUCCAUCACCCCAUAGAGCCAUCGCCCCAUAGCUCCAUCACUCCAACUACCAGCUCAGCCCCACCUUCCACUACCAGGUAGGGCUGCCCCAUAGAUCUGUGGGUCCGCAGACCCUUCACCCCAUAGAAACCAUCACCCCAUAGACCCUUCACCCCAUAGAGCCAUCACCCCAUAGAGCCAUCACCAACUACCAGCUCAGCCCCACCUUCAGAUACCAGGUGGGGCUGCCCCAUAGCUCUGACCCAUACAUCCGCUGACCCAGAGCCCCAUAGCUCCAUGAGCUCAUAGCCCUACCACCCCAUAGCUCCACCACCCCAUGGCUCCGCUGCCCCAUAGCUCCAUCGCCCCACUGCAGCACCCCAUAGCUCCAUCACCCCACUGCACCAUCCCAUGUCUCCACCACCCCAUGGCUCCAUCACCCCACAGCUCCAUCACUCCAUGGAACCACCAUCCCACGGCUCCACCACCCCAUAGCUCCAUCACCACCCCAUGGAACCCCCAACCCCCCCGGCUCCCCAGCCCCACAACCACCCCUCCCCACACUGCCCGCCCCACAGCCCGACGCCUGGAAGGUCUACGUCCCCAAGGGCACCACCAUCACCAGGAGAAAGACCUUCAAGGAGGUGGCCAACGCCGUGAAGAUCUCGGCCAAGCUGAUGGGUCACGUCAUGGCCCGGAGGGUGAAGGUCACCAUCCUCUACGCCACCGAGACCGGCAAAUCCCGCACCUACGCCUGGAACCUCUGCCAGCUCUUCCGAAGGGCCUUCGACCCCAAGGUUGGGGGGCGACUUAUGGGGCGGGGGGGUCUGGGUGGGGGGAGGCGCCGCCGGAGGCGUGGUGGACCUCCAUCCUGACGUCCCCACCUCCCCGAAGGUCCUGUGCAUGGACGAGUACGACGUGGUGGCCCUGGAGCACGAGACGCUGGUCCUGGUGGUCACCAGCACCUUCGGGAAUGGGGACCCUCCGGAAUGUGGGGAGGUGGGGUGGGAGGAACUGGGAUGGACUGGGAUGGGAUGGAAUGGGAUGGGAUGGGGACAGGAUGGGAGGAACUGGGAUGGGAUGGGGAUGGGGUGAGGAUGGGAG